Aegilops tauschii subsp. strangulata is the source of this 688-nucleotide non-coding RNA. The record is from RefSeq and is a predicted model, not a curated record. Lineage: Eukaryota; Viridiplantae; Streptophyta; Magnoliopsida; Poales; Poaceae.
UUAAGACCAAGUGCCUACAACUUUGCCUUGUUUCUGCGAUGAUAUUAUAUAUACUGAGAUUGCUUUUAUGCUUUUUAUGUGAUAAAUCAAACCUAACAGACUUGGGCAGAACCGAUUCUAAUAGAUCAAGCGUGUGACUUGUAGGAGUCCAUAUUACUCACUCGGACAGGACGGUACUUGAACAGGGCGAUUGUGAAAGGACAUAUGUUCAUCAACCUUCCCAUCUGAUUUCAGAUCAACCAUCCUCUGUGGACCUUGACGAAAAAAGAGAGUUGAUAAAAGCUCGGAGGCGAGCUGCUUAUAGAAAGAAAAAAGAGGAGGCUCUACCGUCAAGCAACAAGAGGAAAAUCUGUCUGCCCUUACGAUAUCAGAUAUGUUGAAUGUGGGUGGGUUACCUCUCGGUGAUAUCACUAAUGUGUGUCAACCAACCACGGUGGACCUUGACGAUAAAAAAGAGCAACUAAAGUCUCGGAGAAGAGCUGCUUAUCGAAAGAAAAAAGAGGAGCAGCCAGCAAGCAAAAAGUUGAAAAACAGCUUGAGGAAGAACACAAGGGUGACUUAACAGACGAGCAAACUGAGCAGAGAAACGCGCGGAGGAUGUUACAUGGUGAUAUGCUAAAUGUGGGUGGGUUACCUCUCGGUGAUAUCACUAAUGUGUGUCAACCAACCACGGUGGACCUUGACGAUA